This 479-nucleotide ribosomal RNA is filed under the name uncultured bacterium. RNAcentral describes it as "bacterial SSU rRNA". It matches the Rfam family "Bacterial small subunit ribosomal RNA", at positions 8 to 507 of the family's 1533-position model. The record is from RNAcentral.
AGAGUUUGAUCAUGGCUCAGGAUGAACGCUGGCGGCGUGCUUAACACAUGCAAGUCGAACGUGAUCCAUUAGCAAUAGUGGUGAAAGUGGCGAACGGGUGAGUAACACGUAGAUAACCUACCCUGAAGCGGGGGAUAACGAUUGGAAACGGUCGCUAAUACCGCAUGAGCCUAUUGAAGCGGGAGUGAGAUAGGGAAAUUCAGGUGCUUUAGGCGGGGUCUGCGUCCGAUUAGCUAGUUGGUGAGGUAACGGCUCACCAAGGCGACGAUCGGUAGCUGGUCUGAGAGGACGAUCAGCCACACGGGAACUGAGACACGGUCCCGACUCCUACGGGGGGCAGCAGUGAGGAAUAUUGGGCAAUGGGCGGAAGCCUGACCCAGCAACGCCGCGUGGAGGAUGAAGGCCUUCGGGUCGUAAACUCCUUUUGACGGGGAAGAGGAAGGACGGUACCCGUCGAAUAAGUCACGGCUAACUACGUG